This 497-nucleotide ribosomal RNA is filed under the name uncultured bacterium. RNAcentral's name for it is "partial 16S ribosomal RNA". It matches the Rfam family "Bacterial small subunit ribosomal RNA", at positions 28 to 507 of the family's 1533-position model. The record is from RNAcentral.
GAUGAACGCUGGCGGCGUGCCUAAUACAUGCAAGUCGAGCGAACAGACGAGGAGCUUGCUCCUCUGACGUUAGCGGCGGACGGGUGAGUAACACGUGGAUAACCUCCCUAUAAGACUGGGAUAACUUCGGGAAACCGGAGCUAAUACCGGAUAAUAUAUUGAACCGCAUGGUUCAAUAGUGAAAGACGGUUUUGCUGUCACUUAUAGAUGGAUCCGGCCCGCAUUAGCUGGUUGGUAAGGUAACUGCUUACCAAGGCAACGAUGCAUACCCGACUUCUGAGGGUGAUCAGCCCUGAUACAAAUGAGAUCCCGACCAGUCUGCUUCGGGAGUCAGCAAUUGGGAAUAUCACGCAAUUGGCGAAGGCGUGAAGGAGCAACGGCGCGGGAGUGAUGAAGGACGUCGGUACGUAAGACUCUGUUAUUAGUGAAGAACGAAGGUGUAAGUAAAUAUGCACGUCUUGACGGUACCUAAUCAGAAAGACACGGCUAACUACGUG